This 57-nucleotide transfer RNA is filed under the name Pyramimonas parkeae. Its description in RNAcentral is "partial tRNA". Lineage: Eukaryota; Viridiplantae; Chlorophyta; Pyramimonadophyceae; Pyramimonadales; Pyramimonadaceae. The record is from RNAcentral.
AGCCGGAUCGUGCUCCGGCGGUGGACAACGAUCUGAUGGCAAAGCUUCAUCGCAUGC